CUGUUUGAUACAUGCAAUAUGCUUUGUGGACUUCACCGGAUAGAGGUUGCUCUCCUAUUUUGUGAUGAAAAAAAGUGAUUUUACCCACGCACCACUGCUGCUGAGAUGCAGCAGCCAAGUGCCCUCAGAGUCUCUCUUGGAGGACGACAACGAACACCCUAGAUUGUUUUCAGAGUAUGCAGAAAACUAAUUACAAGCAAUAAAUUAAUUUCACGCUGUCA
This is a long non-coding RNA of Salvelinus namaycush (lake trout), 221 nucleotides long. RefSeq lists it as uncharacterized. The record is from RefSeq and is a predicted model, not a curated record. NCBI's taxonomy places the organism in Eukaryota, Metazoa, Chordata, Actinopteri, Salmoniformes, Salmonidae. The transcript is spliced from 2 exons.